This 480-nucleotide ribosomal RNA is filed under the name uncultured archaeon. Its description in RNAcentral is "bacterial SSU rRNA". It matches the Rfam family "Archaeal small subunit ribosomal RNA", at positions 43 to 523 of the family's 1478-position model. The record is from RNAcentral.
CUCUACCCAUGCGAGUCAUAUGUUCUUCGGAACAUGGCGUACUGCUCAGUAACACGAGGAUAACCUGCCCUUGGGUCCAGCAUAACCCCGGGAAACUGGGGAUAAUUCCGGAUGACGCACAUAUGCUGGAAUGCUUUAUGCGUCAAAUGGAUUCGUCCGCCCAAGGAUGGGUCUGCGGCCUAUCAGGUAGAAGUGGGUGUAAUAUACCUACUACCCUACGACGGGUACGGGUUGUGAGAACAAGAGCCCGGAGAUGGAUUCUGAGACAUGAAUCCAGGCCCUACGGGGCGCAGCAGGCGCGAAAACUUUACAGUGCGGGAAACCGUGAUAAGGGGACACCGAGUGCCAGCAUCAUAUGCUGGCUGUCCGGGUGUGUAAAAUACACCUGUUAGCAAGGGCCGGGCAAGACCGGUGCCAGCCGCCGCGGUAACACCGGCGGCCCGAGUGGUGAUCGUGAUUAUUGGGUCUAAAGGGUCCGUA